UGUCACAACCGUAGAAAGCUCCUGAUACUGUCUGACUUGAGUGCAGGAGAGAAAAGCGGAAUUCCCAGUGUAGCGGUGAAAUGCGUAGAUAUUGGGAGGAACACCAGUAGCGAAGGCGGCUUUCUGGACUGUGACUGACGCUGAGGCACGAAAGCGUGGGGAGCAAA
Molecule: ribosomal RNA, 167 nt
Filed under: uncultured bacterium
Lineage: Bacteria
Description: partial 16S ribosomal RNA
Rfam family: Bacterial small subunit ribosomal RNA
Source: RNAcentral